AUGUGGCGUCCGCAACCCCCGCCGGCCGUCGUCUCGUACACCCCCAUCCAGUCCAUCCACCGUGGUGGCACGGCGGCAUCCUGCGUGACAAUCAGUUCUGGGGGCGGGGGGCGGCGACGAGAUGUCGGUCGUCGUCUCGAGUUGCGCCGUGCAGUCUUCACGUCAUGGCGGCCCAGCUCCAGCAAACACCACCACCCGCGUUGGCUGGAAGCGCAGGUACCUGCUGAAUCUCUGUCGCCUGCGGGGUCGGCCGGCGACACCGGGAAAAUCUUCGAUGCUGUGUCUUGCAAGAUGGGCGCAGCUCGCCGUGCACAGUGUUCAGGAUUGGGCUUCGUUCACGCCGGGGGAGGGGAUGGCCCAAAGGUGUGA
Molecule: ribosomal RNA, 369 nt
Filed under: Triticum aestivum (bread wheat)
Lineage: Eukaryota; Viridiplantae; Streptophyta; Magnoliopsida; Poales; Poaceae
Description: partial small subunit ribosomal RNA
Source: RNAcentral